RNAcentral lists this long non-coding RNA (1057 nucleotides) under Malus domestica (apple). RNAcentral describes it as "long non-coding RNA (MDOM_LNC014923)". Lineage: Eukaryota; Viridiplantae; Streptophyta; Magnoliopsida; Rosales; Rosaceae. The record is from RNAcentral.
AAAAGUAAUAGUUUAACAUGAAAAAUACUUUGGCUUGGCUUCACGUAAGAAGUCAUUAUAUGCCCAUAAAUCACAGUUUGAUAAUGAGAUACUUUUGUGUGCAUAUUAGACUGUUAUAAAGGUAAUAAGCAUCAAAGAAGCCAAAUCAUUCAUUAUUAUAUUCAAGCCAAGAAGUUUAUCAAAAAAGAGACCUUGGAUGCGGUCCCUAACAAUGAAUGUUCUUUGAUUGAAACCUUGUUGGUUUUCCAUUUUUGAUCGAAGUCUCUGAAAUUAAUGUGAUAAUUUAUUUCUAUGUACGUUAUUAUAUUUUUUAAAUGAAAAAUUAAAAAUUUUAGUUGUUUAUAUAAAUGAGAUUUUAAAUAAAAAACCAUAAUUUGUGGGAUUAAAAAUAUUAAAAUAUAAAUAUACUAUUGUGUGUGUGUGUGUAAACAUAGGUACAUUCAUCAAAAUUAUUGUAUUAAAACAUGGGUACAUUCUUCAAAAUCACAAAAAAAUAAUUAUAAUAUUAGGCUUAAUAACAUUAGUAAAUUUCUUCGAUUAAACUUGAUAUUGAUACAUUUUAAAAUCAAAGAAAAAAAAAUGUACCCAUAUAAGUUUAAAAAUGGAUUAGAAAAAAAUUGAAUAGAUUUUAUAUAAAAAAAAUGGUACAUUUUACAUAUAACAAAUUAGUAUAUUUAAGAUUGAGUACAUUUUAAGAUUAAAAUUUUGAAAAAAGUACAUGAAUGGGUACAUAUAAUUAGCAUGGGUACAUUUGGCAAAAUAACAAAUAAAUUUAAAAAAAAAAUAUGUGUACAAAUACAAAUAAAACUUUAAAAAAUAUGGGCACAAAAAGAAAUUAAUAUAUGGGUACAAAUUAAAACUGAAAAGAAAAUUAGUACAAAUUAAAAAAGGGUUGCAAAUUAAAAAUUGGUACAAACUAAAACUAAAAAUAUAUGAUAAAAAUUUAGUCAUAAAUAUAAAUAUACUAAUUGUAACAUUUUUAACAUUAAAUGAAUAUAUUUAGAAAUAAAAAAAUAUUUUAUUGUUGAAAUAAUUAAUGAUGUUAUUAAUACCCAAG